UACGGAGGGGGCUAGCGUUGUUCGGAAUUAUUGGGCGUAAAGCGCGCGCAGGCGGUCCUUUAAGUCUGAUGUGAAAGCCCACGGCUCAACCGUGGAGGGUCAUUGGAAACUGGGGGACUUGAGUGCAGGAGAGAAGAGUGGAAUUCCACGUGUAGCGGUGGAAAUGCGUAGAUAUCGGGAGGAACACCAGUGGCGAAGGCGACUUCCUGGCCUGUUCGUUGACGCUGAGGCGCGAAAGCUAGGGGAGCAAACGGG
This 255-nucleotide ribosomal RNA is filed under the name uncultured bacterium. RNAcentral's name for it is "partial 16S ribosomal RNA". It matches the Rfam family "Bacterial small subunit ribosomal RNA", at positions 524 to 776 of the family's 1533-position model. The record is from RNAcentral.